Molecule: non-coding RNA, 111 nt
Filed under: Nitratireductor indicus
Lineage: Bacteria; Pseudomonadati; Pseudomonadota; Alphaproteobacteria; Hyphomicrobiales; Phyllobacteriaceae
Also listed under: 1 other name
Description: TPP sequence
Rfam family: TPP riboswitch aptamer (THI element)
About the family: Vitamin B(1) in its active form thiamin pyrophosphate (TPP) is an essential coenzyme that is synthesised by coupling of pyrimidine and thiazole moieties in bacteria. The previously detected thiamin-regulatory element, thi box was extended, resulting in a new, highly conserved RNA secondary structure, the THI element, which is widely distributed in eubacteria and also occurs in some archaea.
Source: RNAcentral
GGCGCUCUAACGGGGUGCUGGCACAUGCCGGCUGAGAGGCCUGGGAAACCCGGCCAACCCGCUGAACCUGAUCCGGUUUGCACCGGCGGAGGGAUUAGACGCUUUACCCCG